GAUGUGGAAAGGAGUUUGUGCCUCGGUUGGGAUAGAACCGAGGCGUAUAAGGUGAAGAAAAUUACAAAAAAAAUGCCAUUUUAAAAUUUAUUAUUAUUGUUUUAGAGGAGCAUAGGCAUCAGGUUAUUACUUAACCGAGGCGUAAAGGGGUGUAUUGCCUCGUUCAGAAGGAGAAACGAGGUAAUAACGCUCGCCAUAUCUACCCAGAUUCAAAAGUUUUUACCCUACUGUUCAUUUCUCCUCUUCAUCGCAUGCUCUCUUCUUCUUCGUCUCGCCCUCCAUUUUCUUCUGCUUCGUCCCACGAUGUCUUUCUAUUGUUUAUUUCUUCUCGCCCUCCAUUGUUGCUGCUUCCAUUGCUCUCGUGUUGGUGCUUCGCUUGACGAGUCCACGCCGCUACACUGGCCUGCCCGCUGCACUGCCCCUAACUGUCCUCGAUGCACCACCCCUGAACCGUCGUCGCUGCACCGCCCUCCCUACUCCACCAUCGCUGCAUGACGCCCUGCAAAACUGCCCCCGCUACACCGUUGGCCUUGGUUCCUUCCUCCACGACUUCCUCCACAUCAUGGGUCUUCU
This 573-nucleotide long non-coding RNA is filed under the name Vigna radiata. Its description in RNAcentral is "long non-coding RNA (VRAD_LNC017687)". The record is from RNAcentral. Lineage: Eukaryota; Viridiplantae; Streptophyta; Magnoliopsida; Fabales; Fabaceae.